RNAcentral lists this RNase P RNA (374 nucleotides) under Prevotella sp. RNAcentral describes it as "RNase P RNA component class A". It matches the Rfam family "Bacterial RNase P class A". From Rfam's summary of the family: Ribonuclease P (RNase P) is a ubiquitous endoribonuclease, found in archaea, bacteria and eukarya as well as chloroplasts and mitochondria. Its best characterised activity is the generation of mature 5'-ends of tRNAs by cleaving the 5'-leader elements of precursor-tRNAs. The record is from RNAcentral. Lineage: Bacteria; Pseudomonadati; Bacteroidota; Bacteroidia; Bacteroidales; Prevotellaceae.
GCACUGCUGCGGUCUGCCGCUGGCCCUUCUGAAAGGUUGGACGAGAGGAAAGUCCGGGCAGCACAGGGCGCUCCACUUCUGAAAGUAGAAGCAGUCGGCGACGGCUGGUCAGGGGAGAAGAAAACAACCGCCCCUUUGGGGUAAGGGUGAGAAGGCGUGUGUAAGAGACCACCAGGCGGCGGGUGACCGUCGUGCUGUUCCCGCUGGAGGCUGCAAGUUCAUGUAUACCAUCGACAACAAGGGUUGCCCGCCCGAAAGCUUCGGCUGCGAUGGAGGGUAGAACGCUAGAGGCGCAUGGCGACGUGCGCAGUAGAUAAAUGGCAGACGCUGGCCUCGUGCCAGAACAGAACCCGGCUUAUAGCGGCAAUGCUUUC